AACGAACGCUGGCGGCAUGCCUAACACAUGCAAGUCGAACGAGACCUUCGGGUCUAGUGGCGCACGGGUGCGUAACGCGUGGGAACCUGCCCUUAGGUUCGGAAUAACUCCCCGAAAGGGGUGCUAAUACCGGAUAAUGUCUUCGGACCAAAGAUUUAUCGCCUUUGGAUGGGCCCGCGUUGGAUUAGCUAGUUGGUAGGGUAAAAGCCUACCAAGGCGACGCUCCAUAGCUGGUCUGAGAGGAUGAUUAGCCACACUGGGACUGAGACACGGCCCAGACUCCUACGGGAGGCCGCAGUGGGGAAUAUUGGACAAUGGGCGAAAGACUGAUCCAGCAAUGCCGCGUGAGUGAUGAAGGCCUUAGGGUUGUAAAGCUCUUUUACCCGGGAUGAUAAUGACAGUACCGGGAGAAUAAGCUCCGGCUAACUCCGUG
RNAcentral lists this ribosomal RNA (433 nucleotides) under uncultured bacterium. Its description in RNAcentral is "partial 16S ribosomal RNA". It matches the Rfam family "Bacterial small subunit ribosomal RNA", at positions 29 to 507 of the family's 1533-position model. The record is from RNAcentral.